UGCGUUUAGCUAGCUUGGAGUAGAUAAGAAUGUGAACAAGGUACCAGCUGAUUGCGAAAGGAUUGCCACUUGUAGGACAUUUUCUAAGGUCAUUGUUGAGUCUGAUUCACAGUAUAGUUGACAAUUGAUUUGUUGCUUAUAAAGGAUGUCAUGAUCUUAAUCCUUGUGCUAAACCUUAUCAAUUAAGGAGAUUAUAUAUAGCUAAUCAAGGGCUUAUAGCUAGUAGAUGUUCCCAUAUGAUCCUAAUCAAGGGCUUAUAGCUAGUAGAUGACCCACUAUCAUCGCAAGCAUGUAUUUUGGAAGGAGAAUUCAGUUGCGAAUUUCUUCAUGAAGAAUGGGUUAUCACUUCUUACUUCCAUGCGCAUAUAUGAGUUUUUACCUAGCUCUCCAUUUCCUUUUUGUUUGAUUCUUGUGAUUAUGUGAUAUCUACUACUUCUUAUUCUCCGAUCACUGUAGCUAAAAGAACACUAAUGGCGAAGCGACACGUGUUCAGUUUUGCUGAACUUUUUUUUAAUUUUUUUUUUCUUUGGCCGUUGUAAUACUACGUCGUUUUUCAGUUGAGGUUUCUUUCUCAUCCUCUCUCAUCAACCCUAGAUCUUUCUUGCGUGUGUUCUAUCCCUCUACCUGCUCUGUCGUACAACCCAUAUCCUUCUGAUUUCGAUUUCCCUCUCUCACAACCUUACUUUCCUCCACAUCAAUCUCAAAUCCAGCUGUGUUUCCGUGUUAUCCUUCCCCUUUCCACCCACUUCUCACCAAUCCAUCAAAAUAGUCUCUUCCGAUUGAUAUGAUGAGCAAUUACUUUCGGCCGCCGCACGAUGUGUGUUUGAAGCUAAUGUCGCCACCGAUUAUGGUAGAACCAAUUGUGUAUCGACAGCUCAGACGGUCCACUGUUCAUUUGUCAUCCUUCAUCACGAGAACCCCAACUGCUAUGGUUGAAUGCAUCUGCAAAGGUUGAAUCCUUUAGCAAAUGAUGAGCUUGAAACCAUGAUAGAGAAGCAUGGAAGAUCAGACCAAGGUUUAUUAGGAAGUGGGAGAUGGCACCUACUGCUAAACCUUCUAAAUUUGCAACUUGUCUUGAUUGAUGCUAAGGUAUUUUGCAAAUGCUAUGACUUCAGUUCAUGAAAUGGAAAAUGGUUUCAAUCUAAAGAGGACCUUGCCAGCGCAGGAGCAACAAAGAGGCAUACUUGCUGUGUUUUGGUGCUGACCAAGCCUGCAAAGGGUGAAAUGGAACAAGAGGAACAAGAAAAACUGGCAUUUUCAGAGUUUAAGAUCCUUUUCACUGGAAGAAGAUGCAGAUGUUGAGUAGUCUACUAAGCAACUAAGCUUAUCCACGUUGAAGAUUGUGCUAUAGACAUCAUCUCUCUUAAGUGUAUUUUGUAUUAAUCUAUUAUUAUGUCUAUUUGUAAGUCGUUUUGAUGUAUGAAUUGGUCUAUGUCACUGUGCUCCUAACACUAUCCAUAUAUCAGAUGGCUUUCAUGCUCCUUCAUCAUCAUCUUUGUGAUUUAUUACUCUUUUAGCUAUGGAUUAUGGUGAUAGAUAUGAGCUCCUGUUGUUAUAAGUUGUAAGUUAUGUUCUUCCUGCUGGUCUAAAUAGCUGGGUUUAGAAAUCUGCUCUCAAAUGUUGGGGUGUCAUAUGCAUGUUCAAUGUUUAAGAGGGGUGGGCUUCACUGCUUAUUCUUCUUUUGCAUUAUUUCUAAUUUUUCACUGUAUUUGAUUUUUUAUAGGCUACUUAGUUAAGCGAUUUUCUCCUUCAUUUCCCUCUUUUAUUCUUCUUCUAGGUUAUUUUUUUUUAGACUGUUAAAUAUGUUGUGAAGUAUGUUUCUUAUUCCAUAUUAAGAAGUUAGGUAUUUAUUCACCUAUUUCUUAUCAGUACCUAAUCUAAUAUGACUUUGGUUUAAGAUUUGCUGCCACUGUUAUUACUUCAUCUUUUAUUUCAACUUAGUAUGCCGUAAAAAAAGGUGAAUGAGUGAUACUCAUGUCUUUUAUGGCUGGACCUAUGAAUGGAUAUGGAGUUUCCUCAUUGUGGUAUGUUUUUCCUCUCUUUUAAUUUCGUUUUGGAUAGAGAGUUCUAUCAUGAGUUAUAUCUUAUGGAUUUUGUUUACAAAACUUUCUUCACUAAUUGAUUCUUGAUGUGGACCUUAUAGUUCUGUCAUCCUCUUCAGGCUAAGAUUGGUAGGGGAGAUUUUUGUUAUACUUUUGCCUAUACUCCUUAAUACCCAAUUCUAAUAUGACUUUGGUGGAUAGCUCCUUAUUGAAGAGGUUUAACUUUUACAUGUAAAUCCUUUUAAAAGAGUGGAUUCCUUAUAAGUGGUUAUGUUGUUUCAUACUGCAAAUUUUCUUAGGCUGAUCUAGGAAUGAAUUUUUUUACUUCUUCAAGUACUCAUUAAGAUCCUAACUAUUGUUUCCUGAUACUGGAUAGAGUGGUUGUCAAAUAUAAUUUAAUUUUUGUUUUGACUUUCACUCUUCCUAAGUUUAAUUUUGUGAUGACAGUCCUCUACUCAUGUUAUCAUGUGGCUAUAUAUUGACAUAUUAUUAGCAAGUUGCUGAACAUACACAGUACACACUCUUUUUAUAUGAUCAAUUAGUACAUUUCACCUCUUAACAGAGGAGAAGUGAAGGGGGUUUAUUGGAAACAAAAAUCUACAUAACUAAGUUUAACAUGGGCCUUCCCCUUCCAUCUGCCCCUCAUUUUUUAUCAUAAACAUGCAUAAAAGCAUCUCAUCCAUUCUAUAUAAACUAUUCAUCAGGUGGUUCACAAGGAGUUUGGUAUACUUGAAGGUUUGAUGACAACAGUCCAUGCAACUACAUGUCUCUUAUGAACUUUUGCUAAUUAUAUAGCCUUUGAUUUCUUUCUCUUUUGCAUUAAUAAACCAUAACAUUAUAUCCUAACAAAUGCCAUUAGUAACAUCUCAUUGUUUUUCUCUUUCAUCAGCAACACUAAAGACUGUAGAUGGUCCUUCAAUGAAGGAUAGGCGAGGGAGAAGAGGGGCAACUUAAAAUAUAAUCCCAAGUUCUACUGGUGUUGCAAAGGUAGGAGAUGGAUGACCCCAAACAGAUUUUGUGAUUCUAUUUUAAGUAUAGAUUUGUGAAAUUUGUGCUUUGUGAAAUCACAAGCUGUUGGAAAAGUUCUUCCUGAGCUAAAUGAAAUUUACAGCAAGGUGGUGCAUAAAUGGAUGGACAUUAACUAUGUACAGAACCUUCUCUAAGCCUCAAUGCGCAAGAGGUUUUAGGUAAGUUUACUUCUUUUUCUUUCUUCCCCUCCCCCCCUCCCCCCCCCACUGUUAAUGUCUAUCUGCAUAAACUAUUUUGCUUAGAUUUAUGAUGGUGAUUAGAAAGAACUUCAGACCAAACGGAAUUUAAAAAAAAAAUCAUCAUGGUGGUUUAGAAUUUGCUUCUCUCAUUCCCUCAAUGCUUAGCUUAUUUCUAGAUGCAGAUAAUUAGAUUAUCUUAGUAUGAAGAAUAAAAUUACAAGAAUAAAUUGCUGGUGUGAGGAAAUUUCAUUUGAUAUUUGGAUUAGAAAUCAAAGUUAGCAACUCAAUUCAUAGUGUGCUACCUUCUCACUUCAUCAUAUAUAUACACACCUUAAAAUAUGUUCAUUAGUUUGCUCAGCAAGGUUGGGCGAAAUAUACAAUUUAGAAGCCUAUAAGUUGGCAAGACUGGCCUACUGACUAAUGCAGGGUUGGAGGAAAAACUUAAACAAAUUGAGGCUGAGUUGGUGCUGAUGAGAGGAGAGAGAGAGAGAACCCUGGUCCAUGGGUAAGCCCAAAGUGAGUGUGGUGAUUUAAGAGUUCAGAUUGAGGUUUUCUUCAUCAACUAAACCAGUCUCUGUCAAGAAGAGAUGAGCAAAGACAAUUCUAAUAUUGAUACUCAGAUACAUGAGCCCAGUCGUGAGCUGGCAGAGCAUGCUAGAGAAGCUAUUAACUUGAUUGCCACAGUUGAGAAUCCUCCUAAGCACACAAAUUAAAAGUGGUGUCUUCAUGGUGGAAAUUACAUGAUCAUGUUUGAUUUUGAUACACAAUUAAAACUUUCUUUAAGAUUUGAUUUUCUGGACAGCUGAUGUGAGCAAGCAAUUGAAGCAACUGGGGAAUGGCAAAGAUUGAAACAUGUAGGCUACACAACAAAAAGGUGUAAAGAGGCAAUAUAGCCAAUAAAUAUCAAUCUCAACAACUCAAUGUUGUAUAUUAGUGUUUUGAUUGUGUAACUUGAUAGUUAAAAUUCUUUGUAUUCUGUCUUAUCCCACGAGUAUUUGGCAAUCUUAAAUAUGGGUCUCCUGCUUACAAUGUUUGACAUCACCAAUUCACAAAGUUUGAAUUAUUAAUUUAAUAAGGAAUGAUCCUGCUCGAUUUUGUUAAUAA
Long non-coding RNA from Lotus japonicus, 4354 nucleotides. RefSeq lists it as uncharacterized. NCBI's taxonomy places the organism in Eukaryota, Viridiplantae, Streptophyta, Magnoliopsida, Fabales, Fabaceae. The record is from RefSeq and is a predicted model, not a curated record. The transcript is spliced from 4 exons.